RNAcentral lists this long non-coding RNA (893 nucleotides) under Malus domestica (apple). RNAcentral's name for it is "long non-coding RNA (MDOM_LNC002882)". The record is from RNAcentral. Lineage: Eukaryota; Viridiplantae; Streptophyta; Magnoliopsida; Rosales; Rosaceae.
CUAGAGACUUCCAGAGUGGCAAAAUCGAGCUUGUUCAAGUUUGACAUGUCCCUAAAAUGGAGGGUACAACAAAACAUGGUUAGUCAUAUGGUAAUCCAUAGACAUACAUUGUAGAGCAUUCGGGUUUUAUAGACAUGUAUUGAUUUAAUUUAAGCAUGAAAGCUACAGGUUUCAUGUGGUAAGUUUUGAAUGAAAACUUCGGGUUUCAAAGGCACUAAAUAUGAAAAUACGGGUUCAAUUUAGUUUUAUGAACGAUUAGUUCAUAAAGAAGAGGUUCUUGCAAGAACAUAGAUUACAAUAUGUUGAUUGAAGUGUAAUAGAUUUGAGUUGCUUUGGGAAAUCAAGUGUGAGAGCUUCGGGACUAUGACAGGAUGUCAACGGUUCAAAGUAGAAAAAUAAAUUAUCGAAUCGUUAAUGUCCGAAAGUGAUCUUCAGGUCAAUAAUUUUGGAUUAAUUAUCAGAUUAAUGGACUACAUGUCACUUUUAAUUAAUUCAAUAGAUUGGGACCAAAUGGGGUCGAUUGUGGAAGCAAAAUAAUGACAAACGGGUCAUAUUACAGGCUAGUUGUGGUGGUCGUGCCGCGUAAUUCCCAUAUUUAAUUUUUUUUUUUUCGACAUCUUUAGGGUUUGAAAAACCCUUAAUUGCUUCUAAUUUAUCUAUAUGCUUUGACUCACAAAUUUCACAUAGCAAAAUCAUUGCGUAAUGCAUGAAACGUAUAUAUUGACAAAUAUAUGAAUCAUAUACAAUAUAUAUAUCAGAAGGCAAAUAUAAAUAUAGGGGGUUCAUGCAUUAUGAGAAAUGUUUUCAUGCUUCGUGGACGUUUCAAAUAUCUUACUUUAUUUAAGCAUACCUGAUUGGCAGAAAACAAAUAAAUGCCUUUGAAUUUUGUAGAA